UGUCAGCCCUUUUGGUCCUACCAUAGUGCUAUAUUGCAAGUACCCUUCCAAGAAGUGUCAAGGUCAUUGGCCACAGAAAUUACGUCAAAUCACGUUAUAUGUACAGUAGCUUUGAUUGAACUGAUCAAGUCAACAUCUUAAUUUCACAACCUUAGCAAGCAGUCAUCAUCGUGAAUCAAGUCUACUGGCAAAUCCUUUUUAAUCCUUGUCAUAUGAAGAGAAAAUAUAGAUAAAAACGUAGAGCAAAUGUAACGAUGAGUUGUUUGGAAGGAAUCGGUGACAGUGGCUAACCGCAAGCAUUGCAACUGGGAAGUCAGACUGGGAAAUAUGUUUUGAGCGGUCAUCCGACUCGGAAUUGUAAACCUUUUUCUUUGAUGACAAAAUUUGCCAAGAAGGACCACCGCGCACAACAAAGUUUGGAUCAAGGGACCAACGGGACUGCCACGGGCAAGUACCUUGACGGGUACCAGGAAUGGUGCAAGGACAAUCUGAAGCCCAAGGACCAUACCUCAGGACUACCUGGUCUGGUAUGGCACCCUGACCUGUUCAUCGGACGUGCUACCUUGUUCCGGACCUGCUGUUUUCUUCUCUGUUUCUGUCUUUCUCUCUAAAUAUAAAUAUGGGUUGCAUUUACAAUGGUGUUUGUUCUUCACUGGUUGCCCUUUUAUUGUGGCAACAGGUCACAAAUCUUGCUGCUGUGAUGGCACACUGUGGUAUUUCACCCAAUAGAUAUGUUUUCUAAUUAUUUGUGGGUCUGUAAUUUGAAGAAAAUAUGUAUCUCUAAUAUGGUCAUACAUUUGGCAGGAGGUGAGGAAGUGCAGCUCAGGUUCCACCUCAUUUUCUGGGCAGUGUGCACGUUUUCUCUUGAGAGCCAGGUCUGCCUACGGCGGCCUCUCUCAGUGGCAAGGCUAUGCUCACUGAGUCAGUACAUAGUCAAAUCUCUCCUUAAUUUGGGGUCAGUCAGGGUAGUCUGGUAUUCUGGCACUGUGUACUCUCUGUUUAGGGCCAAAUAGCAUUCUAGUUUGCUUUGUUGUUUUGUUAAUUCUUUCCAAUGUGUCAGGUAAUUUAGUUUUCUCGUGAUUUGGUUGGGUUUAAUUGUGUUGCUGUCCGUAAAUAUAUAUAUUGAUUGCAGUUAUUCCCGAACGAGUGAGCAUUCAUGUGCAAAGGAUUAGCGUUUCAAUUAUUAUAAUUAUCAACUGUGUAGUGACUCUGGUCUUUCCCGGCCUUCUCAGUCCACACCCACUUCACUUAUU
Long non-coding RNA from Oncorhynchus keta (chum salmon), 1253 nucleotides. RefSeq lists it as uncharacterized. The transcript is spliced from 3 exons. The record is from RefSeq and is a predicted model, not a curated record. NCBI's taxonomy places the organism in Eukaryota, Metazoa, Chordata, Actinopteri, Salmoniformes, Salmonidae.